AUCACCGAAGUUAAGCAACCUCGAGUCUGGUCAGUACCUAGAUGGGUGACCGCUUGGGAAUACCAGGUGUUGUAA
Molecule: ribosomal RNA, 75 nt
Filed under: Acanthosepion pharaonis
Lineage: Eukaryota; Metazoa; Mollusca; Cephalopoda; Sepiida; Sepiidae
Source: RNAcentral